AGAGUUUGAUCAUGGCUCAGAUUGAACGCUGGCGGCAGGCCUAACACAUGCAAGUCGAGCGGUAGCACGGGAGAGCUUGCUCUCUGGGUGACGAGCGGCGGACGGGUGAGUAAUGUCUGGGAAACUGCCUGAUGGAGGGGGAUAACUACUGGAAACGGUAGCUAAUACCGCAUAACGUCUUCGGACCAAAGUGGGGGACCUUCGGGCCUCACGCCAUCAGAUGUGCCCAGAUGGGAUUAGCUAGUAGGUGGGGUAAUGGCUCACCUAGGCGACGAUCCCUAGCUGGUCUGAGAGGAUGACCAGCCACACUGGAACUGAGACACGGUCCAGACUCCUACGGGAGGCAGCAGUGGGGAAUAUUGCACAAUGGGCGCAAGCCUGAUGCAGCCAUGCCGCGUGUGUGAAGAAGGCCUUCGGGUUGUAAAGCACUUUCAGCGAGGAGGAAGGGNCAUUGACGUUACUCGCAGAAGAAGCACCGGCUAACUCCGUGCCAGCAGCCGCGGUAAUACGGAGGGUGCAAGCGUUAAUCGGAAUUACUGGGCGUAAAGCGCACGCAGGCGGUUUGUUAAGUCAGAUGUGAAAUCCCCGCGCUUAACGUGGGAACUGCAUUUGAAACUGGCAAGCUAGAGUCUCGUAGAGGGGGGUAGAAUUCCAGGUGUAGCGGUGAAAUGCGUAGAGAUCUGGAGGAAUACCGGUGGCGAAGGCGGCCCCCUGGACGAAGACUGACGCUCAGGUGCGAAAGCGUGGGGAGCAAACAGGAUUAGAUACCCUGGUAGUCCACGCUGUAAACGAUGUCGAUUUGGAGGUUGUGCCCUUGAGGCGUGGCUUCCGGAGCUAACGCGUUAAAUCGACCGCCUGGGGAGUACGGCCGCAAGGUUAAAACUCAAAUGAAUUGACGGGGGCCCGCACAAGCGGUGGAGCAUGUGGUUUAAUUCGAUGCAACGCGAAGAACCUUACCUACUCUUGACAUCCAGAGAACUUUCCAGAGAUGGAUUGGUGCCUUCGGGAACUCUGAGACAGGUGCUGCAUGGCUGUCGUCAGCUCGUGUUGUGAAAUGUUGGGUUAAGUCCCGCAACGAGCGCAACCCUUAUCCUUUGUUGCCAGCGAUUCGGUCGGGAACUCAAAGGAGACUGCCGGUGAUAAACCGGAGGAAGGUGGGGAUGACGUCAAGUCAUCAUGGCCCUUACGAGUAGGGCUACACACGUGCUACAAUGGCGUAUACAAAGAGAAGCGAGCUCGCGAGAGUAAGCGGACCUCAUAAAGUACGUCGUAGUCCGGAUUGGAGUCUGCAACUCGACUCCAUGAAGUCGGAAUCGCUAGUAAUCGUAGAUCAGAAUGCUACGGUGAAUACGUUCCCGGGCCUUGUACACACCGCCCGUCACACCAUGGGAGUGGGUUGCAAAAGAAGUAGGUAGCUUAACCUUCGGGAGGGCGCUUACCACUUUGUGAUUCAUGACUGGGGUGAAGUCGUAACAAGGUAACCGUAGGGGAACCUGCGGUUGGAUCACCU
This 1510-nucleotide ribosomal RNA is filed under the name Serratia entomophila. RNAcentral's name for it is "bacterial SSU rRNA". It matches the Rfam family "Bacterial small subunit ribosomal RNA". Lineage: Bacteria; Pseudomonadati; Pseudomonadota; Gammaproteobacteria; Enterobacterales; Yersiniaceae. The record is from RNAcentral.